RNAcentral lists this ribosomal RNA (122 nucleotides) under Vulpes vulpes (red fox). Lineage: Eukaryota; Metazoa; Chordata; Mammalia; Carnivora; Canidae. The record is from RNAcentral.
CUAUGGCCACACCCCUGUAAUGCACCUGAUCUUGUCUGAUCUGGAAGCUAAGCAGGGUCGGGCCUGGUUAGUACUUGGAUGGAAGAAUAAUAUUUAUGGGGAUGCCCGGGUGGCUCAGUGGU